UCGAUCUCAUCUGGACAUCCAGCCCCGCCCCGCCCCUCAUGGCUCAUAGCCGGCCGCCGCCGCCUCCUACCCCGCCGCCGCGCCUACCCCUACACCAAGUGCCAACACACCCGCGCCCAUCCACUACCGGGGACCCGCGGCCUUCUACCGCCGGCGGCACUCGACAUCGCGGCCAUUGGCGGCUCCCCGACCUUGCUACCAUGGCGCCUCCGGGACUCCUCCCCGCUGCUUCCACCUCGACAUUGGUUUCCCCAACCCCGCUGGCUUCGCCACCAGCCACUCCUUCUAGGCACACUCUAUCUGCCGUCGGACCCAUCCGCCUGGUUCCAAUGGUGAACAUCGCCGCCACCCUAUUGUGAGGCGAGGUGAUGUUCUUCGAACUGCCGGCUUGAUUCUGCCUAGAAGGGGAUAUCAUACUUCUCCUAAUCAGGAUUGUUGUGUAACGGAAUGAUGGUAGGAUGCUGAAUAAUAAUGGAAGAAAAAGGAGUACAGGCUUUACCUAAUGUACCUACAGCAACAAUGGGUUGCCCCACCAAACAUCACUAGAGGACUAGGAAGGAAAACGGUGAUUUCUCAAUCAGGUUCUAUUGGCCGUUCUAGCAUUAGCAUCAUGAAGAUUCUGGAACAGUGCACGACAUGCCCAAUCCCAAGGUCUUCCCUUAGCUGGUGAAGCACAUGAGCCGGUGUCAAGCAAUAUCCCCUGUAUACUUUGUCCUUGUGUUCUUUCCAGGUAUGCAUCCAUAUCAGCUGCAUCAGGGAGCUCCAUGCACAGUGGUACUACUUCCGAACGUGUAGAACAUGCAAUUGUAUGUAAAUCGCCUUGAAAUGAUGGUUGCUGAAUACUGCAUUAUGCUUGAUAGUCUACCUGGACGACUUCAAGCGCUAAUAGAUGCAAAGCAUCCAGGAUGUGAUCAAUCAUAUGCUGGAGAAUGGCAUUGAGACCUUACUUCACUGGAUAAUGGCAUUUAUAUGCGAUUCCAGUCCUUUCAUAGUGCAGGUGAACUGGAAAUUCUAUCAAAGACAACUGUCCUUUCUUCAGUGUACAUGCAUGAUAUUACAUGAUUAAACAUACCAUUUUUAACUUCAUUUAGUUGUCUAUAUUAUGCUCUAUGUGCUAUUACCAACAAAAAUAGUGUUACCUCCGUACCAGGCCUUCCAAAUAUCUUAUAUUUUGGUACGGAGGUAGUACUUUUAGCCUGCAAAGCGACUUCUAUGCCCAUUGUGGCAAUAAUGUGUUUGCACCACUGAAGAGAUAACUUAUUUUUUUCAUUGUAAGAAACACAUCAUGUUUCUUCCCCAUCAUUUAAGUGUGUGCGAUGUUAUCUUUGUUCAUGUUGCUGGCUGUACAUUUUCAGUAUUCUCAGGAUAUAUCUGAUUAGGAUGAUGUUCCGUACUGCUCUGGAGCCGACAACUUUUUGGACUGCUCGAUGUUUAUAACCAAUGAGACUACUUUUUUGGUUGUUGGCUGGAGCUAUCACUAUGACUGAAAUUUUCUUUUCACCCAAGUAAAUUUAUAUGGUCAUCAAAAACCAACCACAGGUCAACACUUGUCAGCAGUUUGCAAUUUGUAUUACAGUAUGCCUAAGCCAAUGUUCAGACAAUGUUGUUUUAGUUAGGAAAUGUAGAAAACAUGGUCAUGAUUUAUGUAGAUUGGACAGUCCCUUCAAACUGCAGUCUUUGAUCUAGAGUGGACAAUCUAACUAUAUGUUUCCUUUUAGAAAAUGACUAUAUGUUCCAUGAAUUCACUGCUUAUUUUGGCCAGAUCAGAUUAAACUAGGUCUUGAUUUCAAGGUUCAGUUAAGGCAGUUGGUGCAGGUUUGUUUGCUGUAAUACUAACUGUGCUAUUUAGACAGAGACAUUUGCUCUUUCUCAUUCCUCGACAUUUUCCUUUGCUACCAAGAUUUUUCAUUCUAGGUUGUGGAAAACGCAUGUAGCGUUCCUUCUACAAGUCGUCAUGAGCUGGGACAUAGAAGAAGAGAGCCGACGAGAAGUCGCAAAGCGGUUCGCUCCGGUGUUGCUGCCAAUGGCGCUGCACAAAGUGCAGAUUGCAGGCUAGAUGCGUACAAGUCCGUCCCUACUUCCACGACGUGGAAGCAAAGGAAAUUUAGUCAAUUAGAUAGUAUAUUUGGUUAUGAAAGUUAUCUUUUGUGUAUGCAGUUUUGCCAUCAUUUUGUAAAAGCUUUGAGUUUUUUAUAAUGUAAUUGUCUUACUAAUCACACUUUUAAUUGAUUUGUGCCAAGGCUAAUAGCCAAGUUAUGCACAAACUGUUCAUGUUUCCUUGAUGACUGCUAUUGUCAGAAGAUUCUUUUCAGCA
Molecule: long non-coding RNA, 2314 nt
Organism: Triticum dicoccoides
Lineage: Eukaryota; Viridiplantae; Streptophyta; Magnoliopsida; Poales; Poaceae
Exons: 4
Source: RefSeq, a predicted model, not a curated record